This 285-nucleotide ribosomal RNA is filed under the name uncultured bacterium. Its description in RNAcentral is "partial 16S ribosomal RNA". It matches the Rfam family "Bacterial small subunit ribosomal RNA", at positions 775 to 1067 of the family's 1533-position model. The record is from RNAcentral.
GGAUUAGAUACCCUGGUAGUCCACGCCGUAAACGAUGGACACUAGCUGUUGGGCUUCGGCUCAGUGGUUAAGCGAAAGUGAUAAGUGUCCCACCUGGGGAGUACGGUCGCAAGAUUGAAACUCAAAGGAAUUGACGGGGGCCCGCACAAGCGGUGGAGCAUGUGGUUUAAUUCGAUGAUACGCGAGGAACCUUACCAGGACUUAAAUGUAGAUUGACAGGACUAGAAAUAGUUUUUUCUUCGGACAAUUUACAAGGUGCUGCAUGGUUGUCGUCAGCUCGUGCCG